CCUACGGGAGGCUGCAGUGGGGAAUAUUGCGCAAUGGGCGAAAGCCUGACGCCGCGACGCCGCGUGAGGGAUGAAGGUCUUCGGAUCGUAAACCUCUGUCAGCAGGGAAGAACAGUCACUGUGCUAAUCAGCAGUGAAUUGACGGUACCUGCAAAGGAAGCACCGGCUAACUCCGUGCCAGCAGCCGCGGUAAUACGGAGGGUGCGAGCGUUAAUCGGAAUUACUUGGCGUAAAGCGCUCGUAGGCGGUAUGUCAAGGCAAGGGUGAAAUCCCCGCGCUCCACGUGGGAACUGCCUUUGAAACUGGCAAACUGGAGUGUGUGAGAGGAUAGUGGAAUUCCAGGUGAAGGAGUGAAAUCCGUAGAUAUCUGGAGGAACAUCAGUGGCGAAGGCGACUAUCUGGCACAUAACUGACGCUGAGGAGCGAAAGCGUGGGUAGCAAACAGGAUUAGAUACCCCUGUAGUC
This 465-nucleotide ribosomal RNA is filed under the name uncultured bacterium. Its description in RNAcentral is "partial 16S ribosomal RNA". It matches the Rfam family "Bacterial small subunit ribosomal RNA", at positions 338 to 795 of the family's 1533-position model. The record is from RNAcentral.